UUGGGGAGAAGAGAAACUCCUUUCUGAGUAGCCCAGGAGGCAGGGAAAUGCAUGCAGGGCAGGUUCUGUGUCUGGACUGAUAACAGCCAUUGUUUCUAAUGACCCUUGUUCCUGAGCAACAUGUCCAAGGCUCGACAUUUCUGUGUGCCACAGCCCUGUGCUGACAUUGACCACAGCAUACACCCCAGUGUGCUGGUGCUAACUGAACCCUGACAGUGCCCUCCCUGGGUCAUCUUACUCUCCACAUCCUUAAUGCCUCAUACAGAAUUGGGGUGGGGGACAGCCAGUUCCUGUUUGCUGGUUGAAGGAAGGAAUGAACCCAUAUGGUGGGAGCAGGGCCGAAGAGGCAGAGGGACUAGUUAGAGCUGGGUUCAAAUCUCUACACCUCAUCUCCUAGCUCUGCGGCCUUGGGCAAGUCACUUAGCCUCUCUGAGCCUCAGUAGUCUUAUCUGUGAAAUGGGAUACCUAGUACCUGCCUCACUGCGUUGCUGUCAGGUUCAGUGAUCCACUGUGUACCCAAAGGGUGGCACAGUGAUUGGUGCCUGCUGAGCCUUUGCUCAGUAAACAAAGCAAGAACUUUCUUCCAAGUCUCUGCUCGUUCCUGAAUCCAUGUGUAGUAUGACUCACCCCUUCAGGACCCCAUCUUUCUGGCAUCUUUGGGUCCUCUGCUGCUUCCAAACUUCAAGCCUCAGCCUGUCCCACAAGGGGACAGACACAGGGGACACAGAGCUGCCCACCUUCGCUUUGAGGGAGCCUGGAGGUCACCUCUUUUGUCCAGCCCUCCCUCUGGUGGUCCUUGCCUUCCUUCCCCAACCUUCAUCUUAGCCAGUCCAAAGGGACGUCCCAGAGAACACGCAAGCUGGAAGGUGGAAGGUGUUGGAAUUGGUGGGAAAAAAGCCCACGCUGGUGAGGGCGAGUUCCUGAGGCCUGGGCGCCUUGCACCCCCUGGGCUGGCCUGCUUCCUACAGAAGGGUCCCUGGUACCUUCUCUUUUCCCAGCCCGGAGGCUGUCGGGUUCCCACAUUACCACAUGAAUGGGGCACAAGCACCCCCCACCACUCGAACAAACAAUUUGGCUAGCAAAUUGACAUAAUUACAAGAGACAGCAAGGGAAGAAAAACGCUCCCCCCACCCCCCGGCCCCCCAGCGGGCGGCUCCCACCGAGUUCCUCCGGGCUUUGUGGGCCGGGCGCUCAGGACUGAUUAGAAACCUCGUGGCCUUUUCAAGAGCCCCAAGUGAUUGGUUCCUUAAUCUGAUUACAAUUUGCAGAGCCCUCCAGCCGCCUCUGAAGGGCCGUUCUCAAGCGCCCGCUAGAUGAUGGGUGAGUACACACACACACACACACACACACACACACACAAACAGCACCCACUUGGGCCUGUCAGGCGGCGCUUGGCCACUUUCGUUAUCAUGCCUCACUCCCUCAAUUAGGCACCUCAGGUGCCAUUCCCUGUGCCCCAAACCUCAGACACACACAGGGCCUGACACUGCCCCUAAUACCUGGGGUUGUCCAUCUUUAGAGGGUCCCACACAGAUACAAUCCCCAGGCCAGAGGUAUAUGUGCCUAUGCCCCUGUGAGUAUACCUUCUCAUCUCCCACCGUCCUCCGUGCGGCCGCCCCGAGCAUCCAGGGUGAGGCUUUCUGACCCCAUCGAGGGCAGCCUCUCCCCAGCAGCAGUAUUUCUGGGGCCCCUUGGGCUGCAGCUCCCACAGGCUUAGGCCCAGCAGGUGGCCCGGACACUGCUCAGGCCCAGGCUGCCCAGGCACGGCUUCUCCCAUGUUGGGAACUCAGCUUGCAGGGGCUUCAGUCAGUGAGUGGCCUUAGCCCUCCACGUCCAAUUUGUAUCUCUUAAUCCCUGAGGCUGAGCCCCAGUGGCUCCUUUUCUUGUACUUGCUGGGGCUCUCAUAGGCCCCAGCAACUCAGAAUAGGAGUGUGGUGGGGAGCAAAGCAGGGGCCGAGGCAGAAGGGGACAGAAGUGGGGGCUCUGCCCUUGUUAACUGCUCUGCCCAGGAGAUGGAAGUUGGGUGUGUGUAUGAGGAUAGGGAACAGGUGCAGGGCCUUCCAGAGUGACCCCCGCCCCCAGCCUGCUGUAACUCCAUCUUUUGUGCACCCCAGGCUGGAGGCCCUGGGAAGGGUAUUGUCUAGUCAGGAACCCCAUCCUUUUGCCAGAUCGUCCUAAAUGCCUGGAGUCUGGAGCCAAAGAGCAGGGAACACAGAGCCCAGGUUCUGACACUGGAAUCAGGAUCGGUGACCUUGAAUGAGUUACUUAUCCGAUCUGGGCCUCAGUUUCCCCACGUGUAAGAUGGGAAUGCUGCAGCCUCUCUCUCUCAGGGUUGCUGGGAGGCUAAAUGAGCCGAGGCACAGAAGACCCUCAGCACGGCACCCAGCACAGUCAGCACUCCAUGCCAGACUGUGUCAACGUUCAUAAGCCAAGAACAAGAGGGGACUUGAAGUACAACCAUCAAACACACGGAUGGGGUGGUUUGUGUGCACCCCGUAUCCCUGUGGGGUAGUCUGUGUGUACUCCCCUGUAUCCCUGUGGGGUAUUCUCUGUGUGCACCCCCGUAUCCCUGUGUGGUGGUCUGUGUGCACCCCACAUCCCUGUGGGGUGGUCUUUGUGUGCACCCCCGAAUCCCUGUGUGGUUUGUAUGCACCUCGUAUCCCUGUGGGGUGGUCUGUGUGUACUCCCCUGUAUCCCUGUGGGGUGGUCUCUGUGCACCCCCGUAUCCCUGUGGAGAGAAACUCAGGCCCUACAGGCUUCCUAAGGACCUUCACUUUACAGCUGGGUUUUCCAAGACGAGCUUCUCAGUUGCCAACGUUUGUCAGCUCUACCUGAUCAGAUGACCCAGUGCUGGUUUGGGAAACAGGGGCCUCUACUCAGCUCUCUCCCAGGGAUUUGAGGCAGGAGUAUCUAAGGUGAUGCAUGCGGACUGGAUAGUAGAGGCUACUGAUUGCCAACCCCUCCUUUGUCGGCGUGGUAGCUGAAAAAUGAAAGUACUUCUGAUUGGUCCCCUCCUACAACCAAUCAGACUGGUUGUGGGCCUACUCUUCCCCUCCUGCAACCAAUCAGACUGGUCGUGGGCCUACUCUUCCCCUCCUGCAACCAAUCAGACUGGUCGUGGGCCUACUCUUCCCCUCCUGCAACCAAUCAGACUGGUCGUGGGCCACUACUUCAUUUGCUUAGAGUGAACCAAUGGGAAACUCCUGACGGAUAUUUAAACCCCAGAAAAUUCUGUAACUAUCACGCUUGAGCUGUUGCUCGAGAUUACUCUCGUUCUUUGGCGUGUACUGUUAUUUAAACUGCAUUUCUGCUUAUGCUGCUGUGUUUUGUUUGUAUGUUUUAUUCAAUUCUUUGUUUAAAACACCAAGAACCCGGGCAACUCCACUUAACUGAUAACAUAUGUUGGCAAGCCAGCCUGGAGAGAGCAUCAGGCUUCAGAUGAUCAUGUGACAAGCUUUCCAGCCGAUUCCAAAUAAAGACAGCACCCCGGCCAUCAAGAAACUACCCUGACUAUCUCCACUGGAUGGAUCAGGGCGGGAGUUCUGAGAUCCCCAGUAGACUGACAAAGUUGCAUUGGCUUGGGUCAGCAGGAUGACCCUCAGUCCCCCUCCCCAGCUUCAGUGUCUCCA
Sapajus apella (tufted capuchin) is the source of this 3629-nucleotide long non-coding RNA. RefSeq lists it as uncharacterized. The transcript has 3 exons. NCBI's taxonomy places the organism in Eukaryota, Metazoa, Chordata, Mammalia, Primates, Cebidae. The record is from RefSeq and is a predicted model, not a curated record.